This 246-nucleotide ribosomal RNA is filed under the name uncultured bacterium. RNAcentral describes it as "partial 16S ribosomal RNA". It matches the Rfam family "Bacterial small subunit ribosomal RNA", at positions 57 to 305 of the family's 1533-position model. The record is from RNAcentral.
GCAAGUCGAACGGCAGCGCGGGAUCAAUCCUGGCGGCGAGUGGCGAACGGGUGCGUAAUACAUCGGAACGUGCCCAAUCGUGGGGGAUAACGUAGCGAAAGCUGCGCUAAUACCGCAUACGCUCCACGGAUGAAAGCAGGGGAUCGCAAGACCUUGCGCGAAUGGAGCGGCCGAUGGCAGAUUAGGUAGUUGGUGAGGUAAAGGCUCACCAAGCCUUCGAUCUGUAGCUGGUCUGAGAGGACGACC